ACGAACGGUACGUACGUCCAUCGCUAGCUCGCUCGCCAUGGCCUCCCUCUCCUCUGCCACCAUCACCGCCCCUUCCGCCUUCGCCGCGCCGGCCGCCCGCGCCGUGGCCAGGAGGUCGUCCUUCACCGUGCGCGCCUCUCUCGGCAAGGCCGCCGGCACGGCCGCCGUGGCCGUGGCCGCCAGCGCCCUUCUUGCCGGCGGCGCCAUGGCCCAGGAGGUGCUGCUGGGCGCAAACGGAGGCGUGCUCGUCUUCGAGCCCAGCGAGUUCACCGUCAAGGCCGGCGACACCAUCAC
This 294-nucleotide long non-coding RNA is filed under the name Sorghum bicolor (sorghum). RNAcentral's name for it is "long non-coding RNA (SBIC_LNC016820)". Lineage: Eukaryota; Viridiplantae; Streptophyta; Magnoliopsida; Poales; Poaceae. The record is from RNAcentral.